Long non-coding RNA from Saccostrea cuccullata (small rock oyster), 244 nucleotides. RefSeq lists it as uncharacterized. Lineage: Eukaryota; Metazoa; Mollusca; Bivalvia; Ostreida; Ostreidae. The transcript has 3 exons. The record is from RefSeq and is a predicted model, not a curated record.
UUUUUUUUUUCAUGAAAUCCACUAAUAAAAGAUGAAUCAGAGUUUAUAGAAGUUGUUUUGAUACCACUCGAGGACCUUUUGGAAAGACUUGAUGAAUAUUCCCGGACUGGACACAGUGUUGAUUCACGAGUUUAUUCAUAUGCAUUAGGCCUACAGCCUAGGAUAUCGUAACGCUUUGUAUUUUUUUUUUAUAUAAGAUAAAAUAAAUUAUGUCAUUUGUAAAGUGACUUCAGUGUGAUAUAUG